RNAcentral lists this long non-coding RNA (249 nucleotides) under Pan troglodytes (chimpanzee). Its description in RNAcentral is "long non-coding RNA NONPTRT005020". The record is from RNAcentral. Lineage: Eukaryota; Metazoa; Chordata; Mammalia; Primates; Hominidae.
GUCUCUUUCCAACAUGCUCUUUGCCUUCUAUGUAGUGAUGUCUUCUGGCUUUCAAGUUUUAAAACCUGUAUGCCCUUGAUCCUACUCCUUCCUCCACUAUUCACCUCCUUGGAAAUCUGAGAGACAUUCAUGUCCCAGGAGUGACCAGCUUGAAGAGAGCUGAAACCCAGCCCCAUUGCACAGCUGGCUCCCAAGGAUCUAUCUUGGCCAUCAGUGUAAAAGGUUCUAUCCUUCACCACUUGAGCAGCC